Molecule: ribosomal RNA, 731 nt
Filed under: Amnirana occidentalis
Lineage: Eukaryota; Metazoa; Chordata; Amphibia; Anura; Ranidae
Description: partial 16S ribosomal RNA
Rfam family: Bacterial large subunit ribosomal RNA
Source: RNAcentral
UUAUAUAAAUAUAAAAGUUAUUAUGCUAGAACUAGUAACAAGAAUUUGUAUUUCUCCUAAAUGUAAGCAUAAACCAGAAUGAACCCCUCACUGCUCAUUAACAUAUAUGACUAUAUUAUAGUAACCUUCCCCCGAAAAUUCUAUUAACCCCAAUGUUAACCUCACACUAGAACAUUUUAGGAAAGAUUAAAAAAAAAAGAAGGAACUCGGCAAAUUAUAGCCCCGCCUGUUUACCAAAAACACCGCCUCUUGCUUCCUAUAAGAGGUCCAGCCUGCCCAGUGACAUAGUUUAACGGCCGCGGUACUCUGACCGUGCAAAGGUAGCAUAAUCAUUUGUUCUUUAAAUAAGGACUUGUAUCAACGGCAUCACGAGAGCUAUACUGUCUCCUUUUUUCAAUCAGUGAAACUAAUCUCCCCGUGAAGAAGCGGGGAUUAAACUAUAAGACGAGAAGACCCCAUGGAGCUUUAAGCAGCAUACUCACCUCAUACUUCUAUUUUCCUCACAAUAAAAUUCCUGAGUACCAGCUUUAGGUUGGGAGGACCACGGAGUAAAAAUUAACCUCCAAGACAAAUGGGCUUCGCCCUUAUCCACGAACAACAAUUCUAAGAAUUAUUAUACUAAUGCUCAAUGACCCGAUAAUUCGAUCAACGAACCAAGUUACCCUGGGGAUAACAGCGCAAUCUACUUUGAAAGCCCCUAUCGACAAGUGGGUUUACGACCUCGAUGUUGG